GACGAACGCUGGCGGCGUGCCUAAUACAUGCAAGUCGAGCGGACCGAACGAGGGCUUGCUCUUGUUUGGUCAGCGGCGGACGGGUGAGUAACACGUGGGCAACCCGCCCGCAAGACCGGGAUAACUCCGGGAAACCGGAGCUAAUACCGGAUAACACCGAAGACCGCAUGGUCUUCGGUUGAAAGGCGGCCUUUGGGCUGUCACUUGCGGAUGGGCCCGCGGCGCAUUAGCUAGUUGGUGAGGUAACGGCUCACCAAGGCGACGAUGCGUAGCCGGCCUGAGAGGGUGACCGGCCACACGGGGACUGAGACACGGCCCAGACGCCUACGGGAGGCAGCAGUAGGGAAUCCUCCGCAAUGGGCGAAAGCCUGACGGAGCGACGCCGCGUGAGCGAAGAAGGCCUUCGGGUCGUAAAGCUCUGUUGUGAGGGACGAAGGAGCGCCGUUCGAAGAGGGCGGCGCGGUGACGGUACCUCACGAGAAAGCCCCGGCUAACUACGUGCCAGCCGCCGCGGUAA
This 517-nucleotide ribosomal RNA is filed under the name uncultured bacterium. Its description in RNAcentral is "partial 16S ribosomal RNA". It matches the Rfam family "Bacterial small subunit ribosomal RNA", at positions 28 to 523 of the family's 1533-position model. The record is from RNAcentral.